UCUCUAGUGGUCCAGUGGCUAAGAUUCUGUGCUCCCAAUGCAGGGGUCCUAGGUUCGACCCCUGGUCAGGGAA
Molecule: transfer RNA, 73 nt
Filed under: Bos taurus (domestic cattle)
Lineage: Eukaryota; Metazoa; Chordata; Mammalia; Artiodactyla; Bovidae
Also listed under: 5 other names
Rfam family: tRNA
About the family: Transfer RNA (tRNA) molecules are approximately 80 nucleotides in length. Their secondary structure includes four short double-helical elements and three loops (D, anti-codon, and T loops). Further hydrogen bonds mediate the characteristic L-shaped molecular structure. tRNAs have two regions of fundamental functional importance: the anti-codon, which is responsible for specific mRNA codon recognition, and the 3' end, to which the tRNAs corresponding amino acid is attached (by aminoacyl-tRNA synthetases). tRNAs cope with the degeneracy of the genetic code in two manners: having more than one tRNA (with a specific anti-codon) for a particular amino acid; and 'wobble' base-pairing, i.e. permitting non-standard base-pairing at the 3rd anti-codon position.
Source: Rfam by way of RNAcentral